This 172-nucleotide unclassified non-coding RNA is filed under the name uncultured Penicillium. Its description in RNAcentral is "sequence contains ITS1". The record is from RNAcentral. Lineage: Eukaryota; Fungi; Ascomycota; Eurotiomycetes; Eurotiales; Aspergillaceae.
CCGAGUGCGGGCCCUCUGGGUCCAACCUCCCACCCGUGUUUAUUUACCUUGUUGCUUCGGCGGGCCCGCCAUUCUGGCCGCCGGGGGGCUUUGCCCCCGGGCCCGCGCCCGCCGAAGACACCCCUGAACUCUGUCUGAAGAUUGUAGUCUGAGUGGAAUGAUAAAUUAGUUA